This 497-nucleotide ribosomal RNA is filed under the name uncultured bacterium. RNAcentral's name for it is "partial 16S ribosomal RNA". It matches the Rfam family "Bacterial small subunit ribosomal RNA", at positions 28 to 507 of the family's 1533-position model. The record is from RNAcentral.
GAUGAACGCUGGCGGCGUGCCUAAUACAUGCAAGUCGAGCGAACAGACGAGGAGCUUGCUCCUCUGACGUUAGCGGCGGACGGGUGAGUAACACGUGGAUAACCUACCUAUAAGACUGGGAUAACUUCGGGAAACCGGAGCUAAUACCGGAUAAUAUAUUGAACCGCAUGGUUCAAUAGUGAAAGACGGUUUUGCUGUCACUUAUAGAUGGAUCCGCGCCGCAUUAGCUAGUUGGUAAGGUAACGGCUUACCAAGGCAACGAUGCGUAGCCGACCUGAGAGGAUGAUCAGCCACACUGGAACUGAGACACGGUCCAGACUCCUACGGGAGGCAGCAGUAGGGAAUCUUCCGCAAUGGGCGAAAGCCUGACGGAGCAACGCCGCGUGAGUGAUGAAGGUCUUCGGAUCGUAAAACUCUGUUAUUAGGGAAGAACAAAUGUGUAAGUAACUAUGCACGUCUUGACGGUACCUAAUCAGAAAGCAACGGCUAACUACGUG